GAUGAACGCUGGCGGCGUGCCUAAUACAUGCAAGUCGAGCGAACAGAUGAGGAGCUUGCUCCUCUGACGUUAGCGGCGGACGGGUGAGUAACACGUGGAUAACCUACCUAUAAGACUGGGAUAACUUCGGGAAACCGGAGCUAAUACCGGAUAAUAUAUUGAACCGCAUGGUUCAAUAGUGAAAGACGGUUUUGCUGUCACUUAUAGAUGGAUCCGCGCCGCAUUAGCUAGUUGGUAAGGUAACGGCUUACCAAGGCAACGAUGCGUAGCCGACCUGAGAGGGUGAUCGGCCACACUGGAGCGGAGACACGGUCCAGACUCCUACGGGAGGCAGCAGUAGGGAAUCUUCCGCAAUGGGCGAAAGCCUGACGGAGCAACGCCGCGUGAGUGAUGAAGGUCUUCGGAUCGUAAAACUCUGUUAUUAGGGAAGAACAAAUGUGUAAGUAACUAUGCACGUCUUGACGGUACCUAAUCAGAAAGCCACGGCUAACUACGUG
RNAcentral lists this ribosomal RNA (497 nucleotides) under uncultured bacterium. RNAcentral's name for it is "partial 16S ribosomal RNA". It matches the Rfam family "Bacterial small subunit ribosomal RNA", at positions 28 to 507 of the family's 1533-position model. The record is from RNAcentral.